ACUCCUACGGGAGGCAGCAGUGGGGAAUAUUGCACAAUGGGCGAAAGCCUGAUGCAGCCAUGCCGCGUGUGUGAAGAAGGCCUCGGUUGUAAAGCACUUCUAGCGAGGAGGAAAGGUUAGACGGUUAAUAACCCGUCAGCUGUGACGUUACUCGCAGAAGAAGCACCGGCUAACUCCGUGCCAGCAGCCGCGGUAAUACGGAGGGUGCGAGCGUUAAUCGGAAUUACUGGGCGUAAAGCGCAUGCAGGCGGCCAAGUCAGUCAGAUGUGAAAGCCCCGGGCUUAACCUGGGAAUUGCAUUUGAAACUGCUUGGCUAGAGUCCUUGAGAGGGGGUAGGAAUUUCAGGUGUAGCGGUGAAAUGCGUAGAGAUCUGAAGGAAUACCAGUGGCGAAAGGCGGCCCCCUGGCCAAGAGACUGACGCUCAGAUGCGAAAGCGUGGGG
RNAcentral lists this ribosomal RNA (441 nucleotides) under uncultured bacterium. Its description in RNAcentral is "bacterial SSU rRNA". It matches the Rfam family "Bacterial small subunit ribosomal RNA", at positions 335 to 766 of the family's 1533-position model. The record is from RNAcentral.